GUCAGUAUGGCAUAAUAGAUAGAGUGCCGGGUUUAGAACCAGAAAGAUAUGGGUUCAAAUCCCACUUCUCAUA
Molecule: transfer RNA, 73 nt
Filed under: Monodelphis domestica (gray short-tailed opossum)
Lineage: Eukaryota; Metazoa; Chordata; Mammalia; Didelphimorphia; Didelphidae
Rfam family: tRNA
About the family: Transfer RNA (tRNA) molecules are approximately 80 nucleotides in length. Their secondary structure includes four short double-helical elements and three loops (D, anti-codon, and T loops).
Source: Rfam by way of RNAcentral